GCCAAGGCCGCAUACACUCGGAGGAUCCAGGGUCAGUUCUCGUCCAUCCGUGAAAUCCUACGCCCGCUUCGACGAUCCGAACAUCCCAGCACCAGGCUUGCCCCUCCACCAGGAGAAGAGCUGCUCAGUGUGACCACAGCAGAGGCGAGGAGGACCCUCCAAAGGAUCAACCCACGUAAAGCUGCUGGUCCCGACAACAUUCCUGGGUGGCUGCUGAGGGACUGCGCACACCAGCUGACGGGGGUACUGAUAGACAUCUUCAAUACCUCCCUCCAACAGGCGACAGUCCCCACCUUUCUGAAGACUGCCACAAUCAUCCCUAUUCCCAAACCGUCCACAGUGACAGGCCUGAAUGACUAUCGGCCAGUAGCCCUCAUCCCGAUAGUCAUGAAGUGCUUCGAAAGACUGGUCAUGGCCCGCAUUAAGGAUUCUAUCGACGUCACUGAGGAGCUCUGUUUGUCCGCCUCCCCUCAGGAAGACGUCUACGGAGCAUCAAAAGCAGGACCACCAAACUGAGGAACAGCUUCUUCUCUGAAGCCUUUUCCCCCACUGCACUACCUACAGUGGGGGAAAUAAGUAUUUGACCCCUUGCUGAUCUUGCAGGUUUGCCCACUUACCAGAAAUUCACAUCAUAUGAAUUUAUAAAAAUUGAUAACCAUCUGAUGAGGAAAAACAAGUAUUUGACCCCCUACCAAACAGCAAGUAUUCUGGCUCUUACAAGCCAGUUUGUCUUUCUUUAAGACACAUCUCCAAUCCCAACUAAUUAUCUACAUCAAAUACACCUGCCUCACCUUGAUACCUGUAUAAAAGACACCUGUCCACACCCAAACAACCAGCAUCCAACGUCUCCACCAUGGGCAAGACCAAAGAGCUUUCUACGGACAUCAGGGACAAGAUUGUUGACCUGCACAAAGGCUGGGAUGGGCUACAAGAGAAUCGGAAAGCAACUUGGAGAGAAAAGAUCAACUGUCGGUGCAGUAAUCAGGAAAUAGAAGAAGCACCACACCACCGCCAACCUCCCUUGAUCUGAGCCUCCACACAAGAUCUCGCCUCGUGGGGUGUCCCUGAUCAUACAAACUGUGAGGAGUCAUCACAAAACCACAAGGGAGGAAUGAAUCAACUGAAGGCAGCUGGGACCACAGUUACAAAAGAAACAGUUGGUAACUGUUGGUGUACUCCGGUUGCCAAGCAACGGCAUUGCCAGACUCACUGUUUGUGUUUCUGUGCAAUGACAAUAAAGAGUCGAAUAAAGAAGGUCUAAAUUAUCGACAAUUCCAUCACGCUAAAAGAACUAGUGAUGAGCUAGAACCUUCUGCAGGAUAAUUGGUAAUAUAGUACGCUGCCAAGUGAUUUUCAAGUGCUGUAGAUGAAUUACAUACUCCACAAGGGGUUGGUGCAGUGUUAAUCUCAUCACAACCCAUUAAGACUAUCAACAUGUCUGGUUCGCUGCAUCGUCCAUGCAAAAAAAAAAAAAAAACACAAACUGAAAACCAAAACAGACAGUUGUAAAAUAACAAGAAAAAAUGUGUAUGUUGAUAUAACAGAACGGUAGAUGUCAAGAACCUCCUAAAUACUUUCACUGGAUAUUUAAUUUCUUAUACCAUUUUAACUGCUCAUUAUUACAAAUAGGUCAGAGUUUUAAGACCUGGUCAAAUGACUUGCAGUAGAACAGUAAGUGAAGUGACUUUGAAUAUGAUGUGAACGUUAGUGCCAGAUGAGAUGGAAGAAGUAUAAGCUGAACCUGAAUAUAGAUAAAAACAAACUACAGAAGUCUUAGCAAAAAUGUUUUGGAUGAAACCUUAUCUUGAAUUAUAAACAAGGUCUGCACAAUGGCACGUGUGAUGCUCUCCUAAAACAUGUCUAUCAAAUGGUUAGAGUAGGUCAAAUGGCAGCCAAAAACAAAUACAUUUCAAACCAUUAAGUCUCAAAUUUGUCAAAUGUUGAAGUUAAAGUUAUUAAAGAAUAGUUUAAAUUAGACAAAAACUAGCGAAAAUGCAUGCAAUAAGAAAAUGUUUCUUCACCAACAGAAUUAAUCAUAGCACAGCCAUAGGUCUAUGGUAAAAAAAGUAAUCAUGUUAAGGCUAUAAAAAUGUAAAAUUACAUUCAGAAGCACACCAAAACUUUUCCAAGGUACACAAGUCACCUUUUGAAUCAUACUGAGUCAAUAUCAGGGUAUAGAAAGGUGCAACAGACAAAUUUCAACAACAGAGCAACAAUAUCAUGUACUUAAAUUCAAGACUAUCUGCCAACCUUUGACGCAUUCAGAGAUAAGACACGUGAUGAAUUCAUGAAAUAUAGGAACAUUUGAAGGGCUAAUUUGAAGUUAGGAGUCUAUUUAUAGAAAUAAAGACCUUUCAUUACUUUC
This is a long non-coding RNA of Cynoglossus semilaevis (tongue sole), 2365 nucleotides long. RefSeq lists it as uncharacterized. The transcript has 2 exons. Lineage: Eukaryota; Metazoa; Chordata; Actinopteri; Pleuronectiformes; Cynoglossidae. The record is from RefSeq and is a predicted model, not a curated record.